This 615-nucleotide ribosomal RNA is filed under the name uncultured Tomentella. Its description in RNAcentral is "eukaryotic LSU rRNA". The stretch from base 247 to 401 matches the Rfam family "5.8S ribosomal RNA". Lineage: Eukaryota; Fungi; Basidiomycota; Agaricomycetes; Thelephorales; Thelephoraceae. The record is from RNAcentral.
AAGUCGUAACAAGGUUUCCGUAGGUGAACCUGCGGAAGGAUCAUUACCGAAUCGUCAACAAGAGCUGUUGCUGGUCUCCGUAUGGGGGCAUGUGCACGCUCUGUUACACAUCCACUCACACCUGUGCACCCUCUGUAGUUCUAUGGCCUGGGUGGGCUCUGUCCUCCUGCUGUGGUUCUACGUCUUUACACACACACUACAAUAAAGUCUCAUGGAAUGUAUGUAGCGUUUAACGCAAUGAAAUACAACUUUCAGCAACGGAUCUCUUGGCUCUCGCAUCGAUGAAGAACGCAGCGAAAUGCGAUAAGUAAUGUGAAUUGCAGAAUUCAGUGAAUCAUCGAAUCUUUGAACGCACCUUGCGCCCUUUGGCUAUUCCGAAGGGCAUGCCUGUUUGAGUAUCAUGAACACCUCAACUCUUGUGGCUUGCCAUGAUGAGCUUGGACUUUGGGGGUCUUGUUGGCCUAUGAGCCAGCUCCUCUUAAAUGAAUUAGCUUGCCGGUGUUUGGUGGCAUCACAGGUGUGAUAACUAUCUACGCUUGUGGUUUCCCACCAGGUAAUCUUCAGCAAUGGAGGUUCGCUGGAGCUUAUAAACGUCUCUCCUCAGCGAGGACAGUU